AACGCACCUUGCGCCCCUUGGCAUUCCGAGGGGCACACCCGUUUGAGUGUCGUGAAAUCUUCAAAAACCCUUUUUUCUUUGAACCAUUGUGGUCGGAAAAAGGAUUUUUGGACUUGGAGGCUUUAAUGCUUGCCCUUUCUUUUUUUUGAAAGCGAGCUCCUCUCAAAUGAAUUAGUGGGGUCCGCUUUGCUGAUCCUUGACGUGAUAAAAUGUUUCUACGUUUUGGGUUUAGCACUGUCCCUUGGAUGCCUGCUGCUAACCGUCUCAUUGACAAUGAUGGUGCUCCGGUCACUGCCGUCUACGUCGGCGGGAGGCUGGACCCACAAAAAGAAAACCUUGACCUCAAAUCGGGUGAGACUACCCGCUGAACUUAA
Molecule: unclassified non-coding RNA, 374 nt
Filed under: Russula sp.
Lineage: Eukaryota; Fungi; Basidiomycota; Agaricomycetes; Russulales; Russulaceae
Also listed under: 3 other names
Description: partial contains 5.8S ribosomal RNA, internal transcribed spacer 2, and large subunit ribosomal RNA
Source: RNAcentral